Molecule: ribosomal RNA, 497 nt
Filed under: uncultured bacterium
Lineage: Bacteria
Description: partial 16S ribosomal RNA
Rfam family: Bacterial small subunit ribosomal RNA
Source: RNAcentral
GAUGAACGCUGGCGGCGUGCCUAAUACAUGCAAGUCGAGCGAACAGGCGAGGAGCUUGCUCCUCUGACGUUAGCGGCGGACGGGUGAGUAACACGUGGAUAACCUACCUAUAAGACUGGGAUAACUUCGGGAAACCGGAGCUAAUACCGGAUAAUAUAUUGAACCGCAUGGUUCAAUAGUGAAAGACGGUUUUGCUGUCACUUAUAGAUGGAUCCGCGCCGCAUUAGCUAGUUGGUAAGGUAACGGCUUACCAAGGCAACGAUGCGUAGCCGACCUGAGAGGGUGAUCAGCCACACUGGAACUGAGACACGGUCCAGACUCCUACGGGAGGCAGCAGUAGGGAAUCUUCCGCAAUGGGCGAAAGCUUGACGGAGCAACGCCGCGUGAGUGAUGAAGGUCUUCGGAUCGUAAAACUCUGUUAUUAGGGAAGAACAAAUGUGUAAGUAACUAUGCACGUCUUGACGGUACCUAAUCAGAAAGCCACGGCUAACUACGUG